RNAcentral lists this ribosomal RNA (402 nucleotides) under uncultured bacterium. Its description in RNAcentral is "bacterial SSU rRNA". It matches the Rfam family "Bacterial small subunit ribosomal RNA", at positions 355 to 774 of the family's 1533-position model. The record is from RNAcentral.
UGGGGAAUAUUGGACAAUGGGCGAAAGCCUGAUCCAGCAAUGCCGCGUGAGUGAUGAAGGCCUUAGGGUUGUAAAGCUCUUUCGCCUGCGACGAUGAUGACGGUAGCAGGAGAAGAAGCCCCGGCUAAUUCCGUGCCAGCAGCCGCGGUAAUACGGAAGGGGCUAGCGUUGUUCGGAAUUACUGGGCGUAAAGCGCGCGUAGGCGGCUUGGCGAGUGAGGCGUGAAAGUCCUGGGCUCAACCCGGGGACGGCGCUUCAGACUGCCUGGCUGGAGUCCGGGAGAGGGUGGUGGAAUUCCGAGUGUAGAGGUGAAAUUCGUAGAUAUUCGGAGGAACACCGGUGGCGAAGGCGGCCACCUGGCCCGGUACUGACGCUCAAGCGCGAAAGCGUGGGGAGCAAACA